This 222-nucleotide long non-coding RNA is filed under the name Nicotiana benthamiana. Its description in RNAcentral is "long non-coding RNA (NBEN_LNC000655)". The record is from RNAcentral. Lineage: Eukaryota; Viridiplantae; Streptophyta; Magnoliopsida; Solanales; Solanaceae.
CUGAGGAGUGUGAUGUGUACGAAUGCCAAGGUAGGGUAGAGAGGCUAGUAGUUAAUUAAAAUGCAUCUCACCGUAAUCUAUGAAUUAACCAUGGUAAAUCAGUAUGGUUUGAUGUAAACACCAGGUGGGGUAAUUUAUUCGUGUUUUACUAUUAAAAAGCAUGCUGAAAACCAGCAAUAUAAUGAUAAAGAUUACAACUUUUUGGCCUUAUCCACCUUUUUC